Long non-coding RNA from Physella acuta, 1207 nucleotides. RefSeq lists it as uncharacterized. Lineage: Eukaryota; Metazoa; Mollusca; Gastropoda; Physidae. The record is from RefSeq and is a predicted model, not a curated record.
CAUUCUAAUCUACUGAUCUAAAGUCUAUGCUUAGACCUACAUGAUUAUGAAAUUUAUUUAACCUGAAGCUAUUGAAUUGUGACAAUUUGUGAUGACUAGGCCUAUAUUGUUAGGUAGAGAUAGAUCUAGGUGUUGAAAGUUAUUGCCAACUUAUUGGACAUUGGUAAUGCUUCGCCAAAGUAUGGCAAGCCAGUGUUUCCAUGCAUACAACAGAUGUACUGUAAUGGCACUGACAGAUGACAUUCAUUAAUUUCCCAAUCAUGUCUUUCCAGAUAAGGAUUUUGAAAAAAAAAAUCUCACACACAGUUAUGUUGUGGAUCACUUUGAACUGGGUCAUCACUAUUAAAUUCAUAAUGACAUUUGAGUGAUGUGUGUCAAAGAUUUCUACAAUACAAAAAUGUGCCUAAUCCUGGUAGAUGAAAGAGGUUUGUGUAAUGGCUGACAUUUGGACACUUCCCAGCUGCGUGGCCUGUUUGUCCACACUUAUAGCAGAUUGAUGCUCGGCCAGGCAACACCACCAGGAUGACAUGAAUAACAAAGUGCAGGGAUGUGAAGUGUUUUUGUAAAAGUUAUAAAAGAUGAGUUACUUACCCUUGAUAACAGAAUUCCUCAAUUGGCAGGAAUGUUAUUGGAAUUUCCUUCACAAAUGGAAUUCACAGUUCACAGUCCUAUUCUUCACUCACUUUGAAAUGUCAGUCUUUUAUUUGAACAAAUAUUCACUUCGGCGCAUCACAAGUUACAGAAACAGAACUGAAAAAGGACCCAUCAAAAAAGUUGAGUCUUUAUGCUAAAAGAAGUUAUUCCAGUUUUACAGUCCAUCACUAUUGUACCAUCGAAUUAAAUUGCUCAAAAUAUUUUAGCUUGAAAAACUGUCCAUGAUCUAAUCAUACUUGAAUAUUCUUAAAGAAUUUUAGCAUAAAUUAAUAUUUUUAAAAUAAAUUAAUUAAAACGACGGCUUGUUUAUUUAAAACUCGAAAAAUCUGCCAUAAUCUUUACAAAUAUAACUCUUGGCUGACCCAUUACAAUAUGGAUGACAAUGUGUUCAAAGCUUCAGCUUGUUUAAGAAAAUAAUGAUGUGUGAGGAUGGUUGAUUUUUUAAGUAAUAAAAAGCAUAAUUACUAAUAAAAAUGUCUUGAAGUUUGUUUUGAGUAAUAGGAAUAAAUAAACUAUAAAUUUAUUUCAUUUUUAAAUUCAUACCCUGAAGAUU